AACCUGGCAACCCUACCUACCUGCCUUGUCCCAUUUCCUUUAGUCACCUUAGUACUGUUCUUCCCCACCCACAUAGAAUAAAGCCCUUCCUUAUUUUAAGCACUAUCAAGUUUCUUCUGAGCCCUGUUUUCUGAUUAGCCCAUUCUUGCCUCAGUUCACUCUCUGCUCUGCCGUUUUCGUCAAUCCUUCCUCUUCCCUUUCAUUUUCUGUUUCUUCAGGUUUCUCUUUCUCAGUUUAUUGCCUUCACCACCACCCCACUUCUGAGAUUCCUGCCCUUUCCUGUGUCCCCAAACCACCUCCCAAUCCUCAGCUUGGCCCAAUGCAAAGUUGUAAUCUCUGCCAAGUGGAUAACUUUCUCUUCCUCAGAGAACUCGGCCUGAAAACUGCUCAGUUUCCUGAGCAAAGGAACAUUCCAUGCGGCUCAGCCAAUCAGUGCCAAAGGGUUAUCUGUCACAACUGCAAUACAAUAUAGAUAGAAGAAAAUGAUUCCUGGUCUAUUUUGAGUGAAUGCACUUUGACAACAGAGCAAUAAGAAAUGUACUGAGCAUUGGAUGACCUCAAUUUCAGCCUUCCAUCUUCAUAAAUGUUUGAUGUGAUAUGACAUCAUGAAAAAUGUGGGAAGCAUUGAAUGUGGGAAGAAGUGCUUAUUGUGGUUGCAGAUAUGUCUUUCAUAAUUAUCUGUAGACUCUGAAGAUUGAAUGCCUUGACAUCACAGCACUUAAUACUCUUGGGGUGGACUGCCUCCCCAGUACGUGUUUAACAUGUCCAUGUAUAAACUGCUAAUCAAAAAUAUCAAAAUUUUGCAAAAUAAAAGGCAAAGUUUGCAAUCAGUAAAAUAUUUUAAUAUAAUACAUAACAAAUAUGUUUACUCUGUACAAUUUAGUCUUGCUUUUGAACUGGAGGUGUCUGGGGGUGAGUAAGUGAAGGAUUUUAGAUUAUGUGACAACAUUCAAUGGGUUUUAUUGUCCUAAAUGGUAAUGGUACACCCUGAGAAUGUAGAUUUUGUCUGUGUUCCAUAUCAAAUAGAGCUGCACUUGAAAUUCUGCUUACUGCUUUGACUGCAAAUCUGCUGCAAAUAAGUAUGAAACACAGAACUUUGCAUCUCAAUUAUUGCCUUAUUCACAUUCAGUUGUUUAUACACCAUAACACAAGUUUAUUUGUGUCUGCUUAAGCUUUGUUGAGUGUUUAAUUUAACCAUUGUACAGUUCAGAGGUCUUAUUUUUGUUCAUACCUCUAGGACGCUUUCCAUUUAAUAAAAUAGCCUUUCUCACCUUAGAAGAAUUAACCACUGGGGAUCAUUUCAGACCCAAAUGCCAUCCCUCUAUAGUUUAUUACAGUAUUUAUUGCACUUGGUUGCACUUAGUUCCCAUUAAA
This is a long non-coding RNA of Rhineura floridana, 1374 nucleotides long. RefSeq lists it as uncharacterized. The transcript has 2 exons. The record is from RefSeq and is a predicted model, not a curated record. Lineage: Eukaryota; Metazoa; Chordata; Lepidosauria; Squamata; Rhineuridae.